GGCACCGUCUCCUUGAAGUCUCCAAGUCCGAGGCAGCAGCCGGCGUUCAUCCCGCAGUGGCCCCGGCCACCCUGUCGUGUCCUUUUGCCCACUUCAUACAAACACAGCCGACAUCCACUGCUAAUUCCUGGGGGAGGAGUCAUCACGUGCGGCGCUCGUCAGCUGCCCCACCAGGGCUGUGGGCCUCAGGCUGGAGGCACCACAGAGAAAUGGCCAGCUCAUCUAGAGACAGAAGCAGACCAAGGGUGAGUUGCCAUCACAAAGCUUCGUGUCUUCACGGAACGAAAGAGAGAGGCAGGAAAAACACCCUCUUCCCACAGCAGUGAAACUGAGGGCUUCAUACGAAGAAAGCAGAACUUCGGCACGGCGCGGCAGGAGACAGACAGAGGAGGCGGGGCCACCACACCCGGUUGGGACAGGGGUGCUGCCACCAGAUGAUGACGGCAUCACUGUCCGGACCCGGCACCCGAGUGCAGCACCAUUGCUCUUCUAAGCAGCUCCCCGCCUCAGCUCUCUGAGAAUCACAACCCCGUGCCACAGCCCCAGUGAAGGGCAGAACAGCCACAGGG
Molecule: long non-coding RNA, 569 nt
Filed under: Heterocephalus glaber (naked mole-rat)
Lineage: Eukaryota; Metazoa; Chordata; Mammalia; Rodentia; Bathyergidae
Description: lncRNA (ENSHGLG00000042283.1)
Source: RNAcentral